RNAcentral lists this transfer RNA (76 nucleotides) under Chitinophaga parva. Its description in RNAcentral is "tRNA-OTHER". The record is from RNAcentral. Lineage: Bacteria; Pseudomonadati; Bacteroidota; Chitinophagia; Chitinophagales; Chitinophagaceae.
GGCGUUGUAGCUCACCGGAAGAGCGGGCGCCCAUUUGUGCGCCAGGCAAUGAGUUCAAUUCUCAUCAACGGCUCCA